Molecule: ribosomal RNA, 720 nt
Filed under: Bacillus subtilis group sp.
Lineage: Bacteria; Bacillati; Bacillota; Bacilli; Caryophanales; Bacillaceae
Description: bacterial SSU rRNA
Rfam family: Bacterial small subunit ribosomal RNA
Source: RNAcentral
UGGUUCAGACAUAAAAGGUGGCUUCGGCUACCACUUACAGAUGGACCCGCGGCGCAUUAGCUAGUUGGUGAGGUAACGGCUCACCAAGGCAACGAUGCGUAGCCGACCUGAGAGGGUGAUCGGCCACACUGGGACUGAGACACGGCCCAGACUCCUACGGGAGGCAGCAGUAGGGAAUCUUCCGCAAUGGACGAAAGUCUGACGGAGCAACGCCGCGUGAGUGAUGAAGGUUUUCGGAUCGUAAAGCUCUGUUGUUAGGGAAGAACAAGUGCCGUUCAAAUAGGGCGGCACCUUGACGGUACCUAACCAGAAAGCCACGGCUAACUACGUGCCAGCAGCCGCGGUAAUACGUAGGUGGCAAGCGUUGUCCGGAAUUAUUGGGCGUAAAGGGCUCGCAGGCGGUUUCUUAAGUCUGAUGUGAAAGCCCCCGGCUCAACCGGGGAGGGUCAUUGGAAACUGGGGAACUUGAGUGCAGAAGAGGAGAGUGGAAUUCCACGUGUAGCGGUGAAAUGCGUAAAGAUGUGGAGGAACACCAGUGGCGAAGGCGACUCUCUGGUCUGUAACUGACCCUCAGGAGCGAAAACGUGGGGAACGAACACGAUUACAUACCCUGGUACUCCACANCCUUAAACCAUUAAAGCGCAANGGUAAGGGGGUUUCCCCCCCUUAUUGUGCUGCUAAUCCCCUAAUACCCUCUGCCUCUGGAGGAUUAGGCCCGGA